Molecule: ribosomal RNA, 377 nt
Filed under: Plectonema sp. AECC1336
Lineage: Bacteria; Bacillati; Cyanobacteriota; Cyanophyceae; Oscillatoriales; Microcoleaceae
Description: bacterial SSU rRNA
Rfam family: Bacterial small subunit ribosomal RNA
Source: RNAcentral
CGAAAGCCUGACGGAGCAACGCCGCGUGAGGGAGGAAGGUCUUUGGAUUGUAAACCUCUUUUCUCUAGGAAGAUAAUGACGGUACUAGAGGAAUCAGCAUCGGCUAACUCCGUGCCAGCAGCCGCGGUAAUACGGGGGAUGCAAGCGUUAUCCGGAAUUAUUGGGCGUAAAGCGUCCGUAGGCGGCCGAGCAAGUUUGUUGUUAAAGCGUGCAGCUCAACUGCAUAAGGGCAAUGAAAACUGUUUGGCUAGAGUGUGGUAGGGGUAGAGGGAAUUCCCGGUGUAGCGGUGAAAUGCGUAAAUAUCGGGAAGAACACCAGUGGCGAAAGCGCUCUACUGGGCCACAACUGACGCUGAUGGACNAAAGCUAGGGGAGCG